AUGGGCGACCAGGAGGCGGCGUGCUUGGAGCGUAGGGUGGUACUGAUACACUCGACAUCAGGGAAUUUCCCGCUUGCGCAAGAUCAAACUGCAGCAGUUUGUGAUGCAAAGGCCGACUGCCUGGCUUGUCGGCGUGGUACUGACCCUAAAUUUAGGGCUGCUAGAAGCAGCAACAUCAACACAUGCAUAGCGGGUAAACAGAACAUGCAAAGUAGCAAGCAAUCAGGCAAGCUCCGCACCUUCCCUGAUCCGGAAAAUCCUGAAAAUAACCAAAAUGGCCUAAGCUCAGAAGCAUUUUACUUCACUGAAAUCUUAACACUUGAUGAGCUAAAGAUAAAAAAACUACCGAUUAUUACAAUAUCAGCGGAAGUUCUCUGUUAG
This 381-nucleotide ribosomal RNA is filed under the name Triticum aestivum (bread wheat). Its description in RNAcentral is "partial small subunit ribosomal RNA". The record is from RNAcentral. Lineage: Eukaryota; Viridiplantae; Streptophyta; Magnoliopsida; Poales; Poaceae.